RNAcentral lists this ribosomal RNA (229 nucleotides) under uncultured bacterium. RNAcentral's name for it is "partial 16S ribosomal RNA". It matches the Rfam family "Bacterial small subunit ribosomal RNA", at positions 15 to 235 of the family's 1533-position model. The record is from RNAcentral.
GAUCCUGGCUCAGGAUGAACGCUAGCUACAGGCCUAACACAUGCAAGUCGAGGGGCAGCAUGGUCUUAGCUUGCUAAGGCCGAUGGCGACCGGCGCACGGGUGAGUAACACGUAUCCAACCUGCCGUCUACUCUUGGACAGCCUUCUGAAAGGAAGAUUAAUACAAGAUGGCAUCAUGAGUUCACAUGUUCACAUGAUUAAAGGUAUUCCGGUAGACGGUGGGGAUGCG